UGGGGAAUCUUGUGCAAUGGGCGAAAGCCUGACACAGCCACGCCGCGUGCGGGAAGAAGGCCUUCGGGUCGUAAACCGCUUUCAGCAGGAACGAAAAUGACGGUACCUGCAGAAGAAGGAGCGGCCAACUACGUGCCAGCAGCCGCGGUGACACGUAGGCUCCAAGCGUUGUCCGGAUUUAUUGGGCGUAAAGAGCUCGUAGGCGGUUCAGCAAGUCGGGUGUGAAAACUCUGGGCUUAACCCAGAGCCUGCACCCGAAACUGCUGUGACUAGAGUUUGGUAGGGGAGAGGGGAAUUCCUGGUGUAGCGGUGAAAUGCGCAGAUAUCAGGAGGAACACCGGUGGCGAAGGCGCCUCUCUGGGCCAAUACUGACGCUGAGGAGCGAAAGCGUGGGUAGCAAACAGG
RNAcentral lists this ribosomal RNA (405 nucleotides) under uncultured bacterium. RNAcentral describes it as "bacterial SSU rRNA". It matches the Rfam family "Bacterial small subunit ribosomal RNA", at positions 355 to 776 of the family's 1533-position model. The record is from RNAcentral.